Molecule: long non-coding RNA, 540 nt
Organism: Tympanuchus pallidicinctus (lesser prairie-chicken)
Lineage: Eukaryota; Metazoa; Chordata; Aves; Galliformes; Phasianidae
Exons: 2
Source: RefSeq, a predicted model, not a curated record
UUAAACCAGCUGAUGAGAUGGCCAACUCUUUUGAAUGUGCAGCCGAAUUCCUUUUAUGUAGAGCAUUUUUUUCCCCCUUCUUCAGAAAACCUUUUUGGAAAAAUAAGCCUUUCUCUCAACAUCUGAAGCAACAGAGUUCCAUAUCUUUGUGAUUUGUAUCUCUUGCUUUAAAGUCCCACCUCAGUUUUGUGGCUGACAUGUUAUGUUUUACACUUAAAUCAUCAGAAUGGCUUUAGAAGUUCAUUUUGAAGCUGAAGCUUGACACCUUGACACUAGCUAAGGAAUUACAGUGGAGUAAUCAAAGAGAGCCUACUAAGCCAUUCCAUCCUAGUUGAAGCAAUAGACCUAGUACUGGUAAAUCUAUUCAUUCUGAAUGUCUGCCAAGAUACUAAAGAAGAAAAAGGGAUUGCCCCAGGCUGGCAUUUCCUGUCUGGAAGUAUAUGGACAGAUAACAGAAACCAAUACGUAACCAAAAGCUUUAGGUUUAGAUCAGAGGUCAAAUUAAAAAAUAAAGAAAUUAAAAUAAUAAAAAAAUAAAAA